CUCGUGAUCCGCCCACCUCGGCCUCCCAAAGUGCUGAGAUUACAGGUGUGAGCCACUGCGCCCGGCCGAAUUACUGCUUCUUUCUAAAGUUAUGCCUGCUUGAGUCUGAAUAUAACCAUUUUAAAGAAAAUCAAAGAACAUCCCCCUCCCUCCCACAAAUGCAUAAAUAUAGGUUUCUCUAAAAGCCUGGGUCGCACUGACUACGGCUUUUUGGAAAUUUGUCCUCUGUCCCUCCAUGGAAGACAAAUCUAGCAUUUUGUAAAAAAUUAAACAGUAACAACAAACAACUCCCUAUUGGCUGCUUUUCACAGGAUGCCUCUCCCUUGAAGCAGCCACCCUCUUUCCCUAAGCGCUUAUUUUCCCUCCCCUCCCCUCCCCUUCCUUCCGGUUGUUAAAACUUUCACCAGUGAGAGGAUGGUGUACUGCAGUAAGGCAAGCACUUGCAGUGUGUCAGGCAUUUGAGAUAUAGGGAGGAGACAGUAACUAUGGGGCAAUGAGGGUGGAUGGCUAUUGCUAAGUGCCACUGAUGCCUCAAGAAGGAUAAUGAACAUCAGAGAGCAAGUACCAGGCAACUGGAAGCCAGAUGUGGAAGCCCGAGGACCACUAGUUGCAUACAGAGAAUCUCUCAUCUGCAGUGGAAGGGAAGAGAAAGUGAGGACUAAGCCCAGGGCUUAAUAGAGUGGCAGAAUUUCAGACAGUUAAAACACCCAACCAAGGCAGGUCUGAUAUGUAAGGUCAAGGACCCAAUUGGGAAAACCUAACACAUGAGAUGGCAAUAUCUGCUUGGAUCCCCCCCAAAGACUUUUACUUCCUGAACCCCUCAGAACAUUCUGAACCUAUACAUAUGCCUCCCCCAUUCCUUGCUAGCACUCUCCAUUCCCAAUAUUACACUGGCCCUUCUUGUGCAAGACAAUGUAUGCACCUUUCAGAGUCCUCUAUGACUCAGCUGGGGACAUGCUGGGCUUGCUAAGGGAGAAUAGGGACUAUACUGAACUGUAAGAUGUAGUCAGCAUGGACUGACAGGAGCUGGAGGAGAUUCUGAGAGCACUUGAAGAGGGGGACCAGAACAUAAGGUAGAAGAGAGGACAAUUUUUGACUUGAAAGGGUUUUUCUAAGAUACAGAAUUUAACUCCCUAGCAUAAGUAUCCCAGGUGUUGGUGUAAACUUGCUGCUAGCAUGGCUUCUAGAAAGCUGGAAAAAGUGAUGGCCCAUGUUGAACAAAGUUAAAAUUCCAGAAUUUCUAUGGGAGACAAUGGAGGAAGGGAAGGAAAGGAGAGGAAAGGAGGGAGGGAGACCAUAUUGUGGGGAGACAGAGGAAUAUAGACUAUUGCCACAUCCUAUGCCUCUUCUCUCCACUCUUGUUUAAUUGACCACUUGGGCCCCUGAAGAAACUGGAUGGGUUAGGGAGGGUCAUUGUAGACCAUCACAAGCUCAAUCAAGUAUAAUCCCAAUUGCAUGCUGCCAGAUGUAUCUUCAUUAGACCAGAUCUAUACUGCCUUAAGUAUAUGGGUAUACAGCUGUUGAUUUAGUGCAGGCAUUCUUUUCUCUUCCAGUCAGAAUCAGAAACAGUUCACAUUUUCAUGGAAAUGAUAAUACACAUUAACAGUUUUGCUCCAAGGCCAUGCUAAGUCCAAAGAAGUGUGGACCAGCUGGACAUCCACAGAACAUCACAUUGAUCCAUUACAACAAUGCCACCAUGUUGAUUGGGCUGGAUGAGCAAGAAGUGGCUAGCACACUGCAGACCUUGGAAAGCUAUGAACAAGAGGAACAUGGUUUGGAAAUGUUUGUCCCAGCCACCAUGUCCAGAUGAGGAAACAGAAUUCCAUGGAAGUGGAAUGACCAGCACUUGGUCCCACAGCUGGAUGUGGCCCAGCCAGGGCUGAAGCCAGACGGUGGAGUCUCAGCCUGGACUGUUCAGACUUGGGUCUUUCCCUCCAUCCUUCACCCACCACACACCUUGAUUUAACCCAGGAAAAAACUUUCCAGUGGGCCACAGAAAUGGAGCAGAUUCUGCUCGGAUAGAGACUGCUUCUGAGGUUCAUCUGUGUCUUCAGCAGAAUCCCCCAGGCUGGUGGACGCAGGAGGGAGCGAGGAGGCAGGAGUCCCCACGGACAUGGCUGCACAGCCUGGGGCCACAGGGCUUCCAAGAGGGAGCCAGUCUGCAGCAGAAAAGCCCAGAGGGCAGCUUCCGCACACACACAAGCACAGCCCCCACCCCCGACACUGCAGACAGGGCCUCUUCCGGAAGGCGCUCCCCCAAGCUCAUGUCCCACAGCCUGGGCUUGUUGGAGGCCAUCUGGCCUGCAGAUGCUGGUGAGCCUCCAUGGUGUCUGUCCCCACUGUGGCAGGGACAAAGUCCCCAAGAGGAAGAGAGGACCUGACUGCUCUUCAGAGCUUGACACACAGCACCCCCAGCCAGAAGCUGACCUCCCACUUGUUUGAGGCAGUGUUCAAGGGGCUGUCCACAGCAAGAGAGAUGGGACUGGGCUCCAUCUCCAAAGAGGCCUCCCUGAGCCAGCACAGAGGAAGGACAAAGAAAAGAUUGAAAAAAGCAGAGUUGGGGCUCUCUGGUGCCAUUGCGCUGCCUCCAUUCAGCUAAGAUGCCCUGCCUCUCCUUCCACCUAAAGCAGCUUCUGCCACUUAGGAGACCCCCCUCUCCCCAAACACUGAAUGGCACGGGUUGGCCAGCUUAGGAACUCCGUUGACUAAGCCAGACCUUCCUCCUUUCCGCCUGCCCCUAGAGUGUGAGAGGGCACAGCAAGCAGCUGUCCUCCCUGCUGGUGGUCACCACCUCCAGCACUGGCUCUGUUUCCCUUUGAACAUUAAUUAGCAGGUGGGUUCUGAUUUGAGAGUGAAGCAUUCUUUGGGGGUGCCCAGCUGAGAGCAGUGGUCUGGUGGAGCAGCGUGCAGGACUCUCUGGAAGGCUCACCCGUUAUAGCAGAGCUGGAAAUGUGAUUUCCAGGCCUGAGUCGGAUGGUGGGGGAGGGUCGCCCUCCAGCCUGGUGACUGGAGGUGAAUUCCCGGAUCUCCUGGGUCUUGGCUUCUUCCUCUGUGAACUCUGACUUGGGGGUUGUUGGGAGGUGAUUUAGUGCUGUUCUAACAUAUGCUGGUAUCUGCCCUUCACAACGCGGGGACAGAGGCGGAUGGCAGUGUUUUCACUGCUGUCCCUGUGGACAUGGAGGGUGCUAUGUGGGGAGAAGUGCCACAACCCAAAAUCUCAGCACAUUAGUCCUGAGUGGAAAACCUCCUCUGACAGUUUCUUCA
This 3264-nucleotide long non-coding RNA is filed under the name Homo sapiens (human). Its description in RNAcentral is "HSALNT0296846". Lineage: Eukaryota; Metazoa; Chordata; Mammalia; Primates; Hominidae. The record is from RNAcentral.